This 253-nucleotide ribosomal RNA is filed under the name uncultured bacterium. RNAcentral describes it as "partial 16S ribosomal RNA". It matches the Rfam family "Bacterial small subunit ribosomal RNA", at positions 524 to 776 of the family's 1533-position model. The record is from RNAcentral.
UACGGAGGGGACUAGCGUUGUUCGGAAUUACUGGGCGUAAAGCGCACGUAGGCGGAUUUGUUAGUCAGGGGUGAAAUCCCGAGGCUCAACCUCGGAACUGCCUUUGAUACUGCAAAUCUCGAGUCCGGAAGAGGUGAGUGGAACUCCUAGUGUAGAGGUGAAAUUCGUAGAUAUUAGGAAGAACACCAGUGGCGAAGGCGGCUCACUGGUCCGGUACUGACGCUGAGGUGCGAAAGCGUGGGGAGCAAACGGG